RNAcentral lists this ribosomal RNA (498 nucleotides) under uncultured bacterium. RNAcentral's name for it is "bacterial SSU rRNA". It matches the Rfam family "Bacterial small subunit ribosomal RNA", at positions 28 to 511 of the family's 1533-position model. The record is from RNAcentral.
GAUGAACGCUAGCGGCAGGCUUAACACAUGCAAGUCGAGGGGCAGCAUGAGACGGAGAUUCGUCAAAGUCUUGAUGGCGACCGGCGCAAGGGUGCGUAACGCGUGAGCAACUUGCCCGUUUCUGGGGAAUAACCGGUGGAAACGCCGACUAAUACCCCAUAGUAUGUUUUUAAGGCAUCUUUUAAACAUUAAAGAAUUUCGGAAACGGAUAGGCUCGCGUGACAUUAGCUAGAUGGCGGGGUAACGGCCCACCAUGGCGACGAUGUCUAGGGGUUCUGAGAGGAAGGUCCCCCCACACUGGAACUGAGACACGGUCCAGACUCCUACGGGAGGCAGCAGUGAGGAAUAUUGGUCAAUGGCCGUAAGGCUGAACCAGCCAAGUAGCGUGAAGGAUGAAGGUUCUAUGGAUUGUAAACUUCUUUUAUACGGGAAUAACAUCAUCUACGUGUAGAUGCCUGCAUGUACCGUAUGAAUAAGCAUCGGCUAACUCCGUGCCAG